This 382-nucleotide ribosomal RNA is filed under the name uncultured eukaryote. Its description in RNAcentral is "partial 18S ribosomal RNA". It matches the Rfam family "Eukaryotic small subunit ribosomal RNA", at positions 592 to 976 of the family's 1831-position model. The record is from RNAcentral.
UGUAAGCGUAUACCAAAGUUGUUGCAGUUAGAACGCUCGUAGUCGGAAUUUGGCAGUUCCAGAUGUGUGCACGUCGUGUGCGCGCUUCGCGGGGAUUGCUUUUGUGGUCUUGCGUAGGAUGAGGCACUUUUAUUAGUGAACGUCCUCACGCAACCACUUUUUACAGUGAGAAAAUCAGAGUGCUCAAAGCAGGCAUUUGCCGUGAAUGUAUUAGCAUGGAAUAAUAGAAUAGGACUUGGUUCUAUUUUGUUGGUUUGUUGGGACUGAGUAAUGAUUAAGAGGGACAGUUGGGGGCAUUUGUAUUUCGGUGCUAGAGGUGAAAUUCUUAGAUUACCGAAAGACAAACUGCUGCGAAAGCGUCUGCCAAGGAUGUUUUCAUUGA